AAUAGUUUAUUUGGUACCAAGUAUCUACCAAGUUUUAGGUACGACAUAAAUGAAUGUCAAAAGUCUGACGUCUGGCAAAGGCAUGCGUUUUCUAUCAUGUUUCUACAUGAUUCCUACAAUAAGUUAUUUCUGUUAUAAUAAAUGGCACUAGUUUGUUAAAUGACAGUUGCGUGAAAGUGUCAGCCUACAUGCAGCAUGCCUUAAUAAUACAAUUAAUCAGAUCACCAAGCUUUAGCUACUUCUGAAAAUUGACUCAUGGAUAUUAAAUGGGACGGCUGUAAAUGGCAGUAAAGAUCCCGUGCUCCUACCUUUCGCCCUUCAAGUCAAGUCAAGUCAAAAUAUUCUUUAUUCAAAUAGGCCUAGCAACAAGCACUUUUAAAUCGUCAAAUUUUACAAAUAUCAUCUUAAUCUAAAUAUCAGAGCAAUUUAUUGAUGCA
Long non-coding RNA from Cydia pomonella (codling moth), 437 nucleotides. RefSeq lists it as uncharacterized. The transcript is spliced from 2 exons. Lineage: Eukaryota; Metazoa; Arthropoda; Insecta; Lepidoptera; Tortricidae. The record is from RefSeq and is a predicted model, not a curated record.